RNAcentral lists this ribosomal RNA (440 nucleotides) under uncultured bacterium. RNAcentral describes it as "bacterial SSU rRNA". It matches the Rfam family "Bacterial small subunit ribosomal RNA", at positions 958 to 1399 of the family's 1533-position model. The record is from RNAcentral.
AACGCGAAGAACCUUACCAAGGUUUGACAUGCAGGGAAAAGCCUCAGAGAUGGGGUGUCCGUAAGGGUCCUGCACAGGUGGUGCAUGGCUGUCGUCAGCUCGUGUCGUGAGAUGUUGGGUUAAGUCCCGCAACGAGCGCAACCCUCGUCCAAUGUUGCCAGCGGGUAAUGCCGGGGACUCAUUGGAGACUGCCGGGGUCAACUCGGAGGAAGGUGGGGAUGACGUCAAGUCCUCAUGCCCCUUAUAUCUUGGGCUGCAAACAUGCUACAAUGGCCAGUACAGAGGGCUGCGAGACCGUAAGGUGGAGCGAAUCUCAAAAAGCUGGUCUCAGUUCGGAUUGGGGUCUGCAACCCGACCCCAUGAAGUCGGAGUCGCUAGUAAUCGCGAAUCAGCAACGUCGCGGUGAAUACGUUCCCGGGCCUUGUACACACCGACUGUAC